GAUGAAGAACGCAGCGAAAUGCGAUAAGUAAUGUGAAUUGCAGAAUUCAGUGAAUCAUCGAAUCUUUGAACGCACAUUGCGCCCAUCAGUAUUCUGUUGGGCAUGCCUGUCCGAGCGUCAUUUCAACCCUCAGGGCCCGUUCGCGGGAACUGGUGUUGGGGAUCGGCCUCCCCCCGGAGGCCGGCCCCGAAAUGCAGUGGCGGCUCUACCGCGAUCUCCUCUGUGUAGUAGCGAUACCUCGCAGCUGGAUAGUGGUGGUGCCACGCCGUAAAAUCCCAACUUUACCAAGGUUGACCUCGGAUCAGGUAGGGAUACCCGCUGAACUUAAGCAUAUCAAUAAGCGGAGGA
This 348-nucleotide unclassified non-coding RNA is filed under the name soil metagenome. RNAcentral describes it as "partial contains 5.8S ribosomal RNA, internal transcribed spacer 2, and large subunit ribosomal RNA". The stretch from base 1 to 120 matches the Rfam family "5.8S ribosomal RNA", at positions 35 to 154 of the family's 154-position model. The record is from RNAcentral.